AAUAAACGCUGGCGGCGUGCCUAACACAUGCAAGUCGAGCGAGAAAGCUCCUUCGGGAGUUAGUAAAGCGGCGAACGGGUGAGCAACACGUGAGAAUCUACCCUUUAGUGAAGAAUACCCUCGAGAAAUCGAGGCUAAUACUGCAUACGUCCCUUCGGGGAGAAAGAUGGCCUCUUUGCUAUCGCUAAAGGAUGAGCUUGCGUACUAUUAGCUAGUUGGCGGGGUAAAGGCCCACCAAGGCAAUGAUGGUUAACCGGCCUGAGAGGGUGUACGGUCACACUGGAACUUAGACACGGUCCAGACUCCUACGGGAGGCAGCAGUGAGGAAUCUUGCGCAAUGGGCGAAAGCCUGACGCAGCGACGCCGCGUGGAGGAUGACGGUUUUCGGAUUGUAAACUCCUGUUAAGCGGGAAGAAAGCCUUGUUUCUAAUACAAGCAAGGUAUGACGGUACCGCUAGAGAAAGCACCGGCUAACUUCGUGCCAGCAGCCGCGG
RNAcentral lists this ribosomal RNA (494 nucleotides) under uncultured bacterium. Its description in RNAcentral is "bacterial SSU rRNA". It matches the Rfam family "Bacterial small subunit ribosomal RNA", at positions 29 to 520 of the family's 1533-position model. The record is from RNAcentral.